Molecule: long non-coding RNA, 1206 nt
Organism: Aedes albopictus (Asian tiger mosquito)
Lineage: Eukaryota; Metazoa; Arthropoda; Insecta; Diptera; Culicidae
Exons: 3
Source: RefSeq, a predicted model, not a curated record
UUCAGCAUCAGUUGAGCAAGCACUCUCCAACGCCCCAUUUUUUCGCGUGAAGCCGAACGAAGCAGAAGUUUUUGCAAUCUUUCCGUGUUUAAAUUAAGAACUACUCUAAAAAAUGUCCAAGAUAAAUUUAAGCAGCGAGUGCAAAGAGAAAGUUAUUGCACAAUUCUGGAAACGGAUGGAAGAGGUGAUCGGCUUGGUGCCUGAAAAUGUGAAAAACAUCGUCAAUCUCCUUGAACUCACGGCUACCAGUUGGCUUGGCGACAUGACCACUAUGGAUGAAAUUAUGUCCCUCGAAGGCGACAUACGGCGCAGCGGUAAAUGGCGUUUGCUGCGACACCAUCCACGGGGCAACGCAGUGGAUUAUUUUGAACAAUAUUUUGAUGAACUGGACCAGUUCAAAUUUAUGCGGGUGGAGAUAAAGUGCAUCGCAGCGAUAGCUGGCGCUGUAAAGCGGUACGGUGUUCACUACUUCACUGAGGUGACUACACUGAACCAAAACAUCCUCCUUUAAUCGACUGAACUGUAAUAUGCACAAGCAUCAAAACGUCUCCUCCGAAUAUCGUAUGCAGAAAUAAUGUGACUGUUACUUCCUCGAGUACCCGUAUCCGAAUCAUCCAGAAAGUGGAUGAUGCUCAGAACACUAUCAUAUGACAUAACAUCCCGUUUUUGGAGCACUCGACAUACCAACAAAAAACCAGUCGAACACAGAAUGAUGCUUGCUUCGCUCACGCCCCAAAACAAUAAUCAGUCGGUUUUGAAUUGUGUUCCCGAUGGUCGGCAACUCGCAGCUAGGAUCUCGUGAGACGCAAUAAGGCCAUCAUUUAAAUAUUUUCCGAGUUAGUAUUUUACGAGCUAGUUCAUGAAGUUUUUGAACAUUUCUACUCGCAAUUCUGGAGAUAAUUAGCGUGGCAAAUCUUUUAUUUUAAAGUGGUUGCCAAAAUUUAGAGAAUGACAAUUUUCAUCUUCCUGUCCAUUGCAUCCAGCACAGUCCGCCAGUUUCCAGAGCAAGCUUCAGAGGAUUCUAUCGUCGCCAUCGGAAGCAGUUGUCGCUGACGCACAUAUUUAAGCAGUUUUCGGACAAAUUUAAUUUGCAAAUGAGAAAAAACAAAUGUUUUAAUAAAUGUGGUUACGUUACUACAAUAAAAUUUAUAUUUUAGUUUUAUGAAAUUUCGUCAAUUCGCAUGGAACAGCAUUCAGGCAAAUUUU